Molecule: unclassified non-coding RNA, 406 nt
Filed under: Cyathostemon gracilis
Lineage: Eukaryota; Viridiplantae; Streptophyta; Magnoliopsida; Myrtales; Myrtaceae
Description: partial external transcribed spacer
Source: RNAcentral
GCUGGUGCACCGAACUGCUCCCCUCACUUUCGAUCAAUCGUUGCUCCACGUGCUAAUGUUGGAUGCAAAAGAUGGGGUUCCUGUGCUGUGUACCUAUCGCGAUGGAAAUCGGUUCCUCUUGUUGUCCCUUUCAUCCUUGAAUCCUUUCGGAUUCUCGGUUGGACUAGAUAGAAGGGCUCGUGCUCCACUGACAUCUAACGUGAUCGUUCAGAUGGUGCUCGAGUGCCUUCUUGUCCCUUUGGAUGCGGAACUUGCCUCAUGGGCGUGGGGUCAUCGGCCCUUGUUCCCGAAAGUUGAUGCGAUUUGUCGCUUCACACCGGAAUGACGCUCUCGUCUUGUCCUUGAUCACGUGGAGCUCUCGGGCUACCGCGCUGGAUCAUGCUCGGCGGACGUCGUGAAGGAAUGC